This is a non-coding RNA of Pan troglodytes (chimpanzee), 103 nucleotides long. The record is from Rfam. NCBI's taxonomy places the organism in Eukaryota, Metazoa, Chordata, Mammalia, Primates, Hominidae.
UUGCUUUGACAGCACAUAUACUAAAAUCAGAAUAAUACAGAGAAGAUUAGCAUGGUCCCUGCACAAGGAUGACAUGCAAAUUUGUGAAGCAUUCCAUAUUUUU